This 1451-nucleotide ribosomal RNA is filed under the name uncultured bacterium. RNAcentral's name for it is "bacterial SSU rRNA". It matches the Rfam family "Bacterial small subunit ribosomal RNA". The record is from RNAcentral.
AUUGAACGCUGGCGGCAUGCCUUACACAUGCAAGUCGAACGGUAACAGGUCUUCGGAUGCUGACGAGUGGCGAACGGGUGAGUAAUACAUCGGAACGUGCCCAGUAAUGGGGGAUAGCUCGGCGAAAGCCGGAUUAAUACCGCAUACGCCCUGAGGGGGAAAGUGGGGGACCGCAAGGCCUCACGUUAUUGGAGCGGCCGAUGGCUGAUUAGCUAGUUGGUAGGGUAAAGGCCUACCAAGGCGACGAUCAGUAGCUGGUCUGAGAGGACGAUCAGCCACACUGGGACUGAGACACGGCCCAGACUCCUACGGGAGGCAGCAGUGGGGAAUAUUGCACAAUGGGGGGAACCCUGAUGCAGCCAUGCCGCGUGUGUGAAGAAUGCCUUCGGGUUGUAAAGCACUUUCAGUGGUGAGGAAGGGCGUAAGAUUAAUACCCUUGCGCAUUGACGUUAGCCACAGAAGAAGCACCGGCUAACUACGUGCCAGCAGCCGCGGUAAUACGUAGGGUGCAAGCGUUAAUCGGAAUUACUGGGCGUAAAGCGUGCGCAGGCGGUUGUGUAAGACAGGUGUGAAAUCCCCGGGCUUAACCUGGGAAUUGCAUUUGUGACUGCACGACUAGAGUGUGUCAGAGGGGGGUGGAAUUCCACGUGUAGCAGUGAAAUGCGUAGAUAUGUGGAGGAACACCAAUGGCGAAGGCAGCCCCCUGGGAUAACACUGACGCUCAUGCACGAAAGCGUGGGGAGCAAACAGGAUUAGAUACCCUGGUAGUCCACGCCCUAGACGAUGUCAACUAGUUGUUGGGGAUUUACUUCCUUGGUAACGUAGCUAACGCGUGAAGUUGACCGCCUGGGGAGUACGGCCGCAAGGUUAAAACUCAAAGGAAUUGACGGGGACCCACACAAGCGGUGGAUGAUGUGGAUUAAUUCGAUGCAACGCGAAAAGCCUUACCUACCCUUGACAUGGCAGGAACUUUCCAGAGAUGGAUUGGUGCUCGAAAGAGAACCUGCACACAGGUGCUGCAUGGCUGCCGUCAGCUCGUGUCGUGAGAUGUUGGGUUAAGUCCCGCAACGAGCGCAACCCUUGUCAUUAGUUGCUACGAAAGGGCACUCUAAUGAGACUGCCGGUGACAAACCGGAGGAAGGUGGGGAUGACGUCAAGUCCUCAUGGCCCUUAUGGGUAGGGCUUCACACGUCAUACAAUGGUCGGUACAGAGGGUUGCCAAGCCGCGAGGUGGAGCCAAUCCCAGAAAACCGAUCGUAGUCCGGAUCGCAGUCUGCAACUCGACUGCGUGAAGUCGGAAUCGCUAGUAAUCGCGGAUCAGAAUGCCGCGGUGAAUACGUUCCCGGGUCUUGUACACACCGCCCGUCACACCAUGGGAGUGGGUUCUACCAGAAGUGGCUAGUCUAACCGCAAGGGGGACGGUCACCACGGUAGGAUUCAUGACUGGGGUG